This 253-nucleotide ribosomal RNA is filed under the name uncultured bacterium. RNAcentral describes it as "partial 16S ribosomal RNA". It matches the Rfam family "Bacterial small subunit ribosomal RNA", at positions 524 to 776 of the family's 1533-position model. The record is from RNAcentral.
UACGUAGGGGGCAAGCGUUGUCCGGAUUUAUUGGGCGUAAAGAGCGUGUAGGCGGUCAGGUAGGUCCGUUGUGAAAACUCGAGGCUCAACCUCGAGACGCCGAUGGAAACCAUCUGACUAGAGUCCGGAAGAGGAGAGUGGAAUUCCUGGUGUAGCGGUGAAAUGCGCAGAUAUCAGGAAGAACACCAACGGCGAAGGCAGCUCGCUAGGACGGUACUGACGCUGAGACGCGAAAGCGUGGGGAGCGAACAGG